RNAcentral lists this ribosomal RNA (1204 nucleotides) under human metagenome. RNAcentral describes it as "bacterial LSU rRNA". It matches the Rfam family "Bacterial large subunit ribosomal RNA", at positions 1088 to 2313 of the family's 2925-position model. The record is from RNAcentral.
GACAGCUAGGAUGUUGGCUUGGAAGCAGCCAUUCAUUUAAAGAGUGCGUAACAGCUCACUAGUCGAGUGUUUUGGCAUGGAUAAUAAUCGGGCAUAAGCUAUUUACCGAAGCUGUGGGAUAUUUAACAUAUCGGUAGGGGAGCAUUCUAGCGACGUCGAAGGUAAGAGGACAACUCUUGCUGGAGUUUCUAGAAAAGCAAAUGUAGGUAUAAGUAACGAUAAAGGAGGUGAGAAACCUCCUCGCCGAAAGACUAAGGUUUCCUGAUCAACGCUAAUCGGAUCAGGGUUAGUCGGGCCCUAAGGGAAAGCCGAACGGCGCACCCGAUGGAUGAACCGGUUAAUAUUCCGGUACUAUUUAUGUGAGCGAUGUGGUGACGGAAGAGUGACAGUCCUGCCGACUGACGGAAUAGUCGGUUAAAGGGUGUAGAUGUAGAUGCUGGUAGGCAAAUCCGCCAGCAGAGUCGAACCUGACAGUACUAGGCGUGCAUGCACAAAUAGAUAUGGACGUAAACAGAUUCUCUAGAAAAACCGCUAAGCAUAUUGCAUGAAUACCCGUACUAAAACCGACACAGGUAGUUGGGUUGAGUAUACUAAGGCGCUCGAGUGAUUCGCGGUUAAGGAACUAGGCAAAAUAGUCCUGUAACUUCGGGAAAAAGGACGCUCCCCGUGAAAAGGGAGCCGCAGAGAAUAGGCCCAGGCGACUGUUUAACAAAAACACAUGGCUAUGCUAAAUCGAAAGAUACUGUAUAUAGCCUGACACCUGCCCGGUGCUGGAAGGUUAAGAGGAGAUGUCAUCGCAAGAGAAGCAUUGAAUUGAAGCCCCAGUAAACGGCGGCCGUAACUAUAACGGUCCUAAGGUAGCGAAAUUCCUUGUCGGGUAAGUUCCGACCUGCACGAAUGGUGUAACGAUCUGGGCACUGUCUCAACCGCGAGCUCGGUGAAAUUGUAGUAUCGGUGAAGAUGCCGAUUACCCGCAACGGGACGAAAAGACCCCGUGAACCUUUACUAUAGCUUUACAUUGUAUUUGGGUAACAGAUGUGUAGGAUAGGCCGGAGACUAUGAAGCGGGCACGCCAGUGUUUGUGGAGUCGCUGUUGAAAUACGGCCCUUUUGUUACUUGGGUACUAACUCGCAGAGCGAGGACAGUGUAUGGUGGGUAGUUUGACUGGGGUGGUCGCCUCCAAAAGCGUAACGGAGGCUUCUAA